Molecule: long non-coding RNA, 434 nt
Organism: Cervus elaphus (red deer)
Lineage: Eukaryota; Metazoa; Chordata; Mammalia; Artiodactyla; Cervidae
Exons: 3
Source: RefSeq, a predicted model, not a curated record
UCGCCCCGCGGCUCCUGGAUUUCCAGAAGACCAAGUACGCGAGGUUCAUGAACCACCGGGUUCCCGCCCACAAGAGGUACCAGCCCACGGAGUACGAGCAUGCUGCCAACUGUGCGACCCACGCUGGCCUGGAAUACUUGCCAUCUCCCCCAUGAAAUCCUGCUCUGGGCAGCAGUCCUUAAACCUCUGGGCCCCUUUGAGGAUCUUAGGAAGAUCCGGACCUAUGCUGUCCAGCUUCGUAGCUACUGGCCUCACGCAGCUGAAAUAUGGCACGUCUGAACUGAGGUGUGCUGUGAGUGUAGACUACACGGCAGCUUUUGAAGACUCAGCAUGAAAAAAAGAAUGCAAGAUAUCUUAAUUCUCUUUAUAUUAAUGAUGUGUUGAAAUGAUACUUUGGAUAUAUUGGACUAAGCAGAAUAUAUCAAUAAAGUCAG